GGCAGCUCAAGUGGUGGCCAUUAUUAUUGGGCCUAAAGCGUUCGUAGCCGGUUUGAUAAGUCUCUGGUGAAAUCCCGCAGCUUAACUGUGGGACUUGCUGGAGAUACUAUUAGACUUGAGGUCGGGAGAGGUUAGGGGUACUCCCAGGGUAGGGGUGAAAUCCUAUAAUCCUGGGAGGACCACCUGUGGCGAAGGCGCCUAACUGGAACGAACCUGACGGUGAGUAACGAAAGCCAGGGGCGCGAACC
RNAcentral lists this ribosomal RNA (248 nucleotides) under uncultured euryarchaeote. Its description in RNAcentral is "partial 16S ribosomal RNA". It matches the Rfam family "Archaeal small subunit ribosomal RNA", at positions 478 to 725 of the family's 1478-position model. Lineage: Archaea; Methanobacteriati; Methanobacteriota. The record is from RNAcentral.